This 491-nucleotide ribosomal RNA is filed under the name uncultured bacterium. RNAcentral describes it as "partial 16S ribosomal RNA". It matches the Rfam family "Bacterial small subunit ribosomal RNA", at positions 29 to 506 of the family's 1533-position model. The record is from RNAcentral.
AGUGAACGCUGGCGGUAGGCCUAACACAUGCAAGUCGAACGGCAGCACAGUAAGAGCUUGCUCUUACGGGUGGCGAGUGGCGGACGGGUGAGGAAUACAUCGGAAUCUACUUUUUCGUGGGGGAUAACGUAGGGAAACUUACGCUAAUACCGCAUACGACCUACGGGUGAAAGCAGGGGAUCUUCGGACCUUGCGCGAUUGAAUGAGCCGAUGUCGGAUUAGCUAGUUGGCGGGGUAAAGGCCCACCAAGGCGACGAUCCGUAGCUGGUCUGAGAGGAUGAUCAGCCACACUGGAACUGAGACACGGUCCGGACUCCUACGGGAGGCAGCAGUGGGGAAUAUUGGACAAUGGGCGCAAGCCUGAUCCAGCCAUACCGCGUGGGUGAAGAAGGCCUUCGGGUUGUAAAGCCCUUUUGUUGGGAAAGAAAAGCAGCAGGUUAAUACCCCGCUGUUCUGACGGUACCCAAAGAAUAAGCACCGGCUAACUUCGU